UACGAAGGGGGCUAGCGUUGUUCGGAUUUACUGGGCGUAAAGCGCACGUAGGCGGAUCGUUAAGUCGGUGGUGAAAUCCUGGAGCUCAACUCCAGAACUGCCUUCGAUACUGGCGAUCUUGAGUCCGGAAGAGGUGAGUGGAACUCCUAGUGUAGAGGUGGAAUUCGUAGAUAUUAGGAAGAACACCAGUGGCGAAGGCGGCUCACUGGUCCGGUACUGACGCUGAGGUGCGAAAGCGUGGGGAGCAAACAGG
This 253-nucleotide ribosomal RNA is filed under the name uncultured bacterium. RNAcentral's name for it is "partial 16S ribosomal RNA". It matches the Rfam family "Bacterial small subunit ribosomal RNA", at positions 524 to 776 of the family's 1533-position model. The record is from RNAcentral.